UACGGAGGAUGCAAGCGUUAUCCGGAAUGAUUGGGCGUAAAGCGUCCGCAGGUGGCUGUGUAAGUCUGCUGUUAAAGAGUGAGGCUCAACCUCAUAAGAGCAGUGGAAACUACACAGCUAGAGUGCGUUCGGGGCAGAGGGAAUUCCUGGUGUAGCGGUGAAAUGCGUAGAGAUCAGGAAGAACACCGGCGGCGAAGGCGCUCUGCUAGGCCGCAACUGACACUGAGGGACGAAAGCUAGGGGAGCGAAUGGG
Molecule: ribosomal RNA, 253 nt
Filed under: uncultured bacterium
Lineage: Bacteria
Description: partial 16S ribosomal RNA
Rfam family: Bacterial small subunit ribosomal RNA
Source: RNAcentral